This 497-nucleotide ribosomal RNA is filed under the name uncultured bacterium. Its description in RNAcentral is "partial 16S ribosomal RNA". It matches the Rfam family "Bacterial small subunit ribosomal RNA", at positions 28 to 507 of the family's 1533-position model. The record is from RNAcentral.
GACGAACGCUGGCGGCGUGCCUAAUACAUGCAAGUUGAGCGAUGAAGAUUGGUGCUUGCACCAAUUUGAAGAGCAGCGAACGGGUGAGUAACGCGUGGGGAAUCUGCCUUUGAGCGGGGGACAACAUUUGGAAACGAAUGCUAAUACCGCAUAACAACUUUAAACAUAAGUUUUAAGUUUGAAAGAUGCAAUUGCAUCACUCAAAGAUGAUCCCGCGUUGUAUUAGCUAGUUGGUGAGGUAAAGGCUCACCAAGGCGAUGAUACAUAGCCGACCUGAGAGGGUGAUCGGCCACAUUGGGACUGAGACACGGCCCAAACUCCUACGGGAGGCAGCAGUAGGGAAUCUUCGGCAAUGGACGAAAGUCUGGCCGAGCAACGCCGCGUGAGUGAAGAAGGUUUUCGGAUCGGAAAACUCUGUUGGUAGAGAAGAAAGAUGGUGAGAGUGGAAAGCUCAUCAAGUGACGGUAACUACCCAGAAAGGGACGGCUAACUACGUG